UGGGGAAUUUUGCGCAAUGGGGGAAACCCUGACGCAGCGACGCCGCGUGAGCGAAGAAGGUUUUCGGAUCGUAAAGCUCUGUCACAGGGGACGAUAGUGACGGUACCCUGGGAGGAAGCCCCGGCUAACUACGUGCCAGCAGCCGCGGUAACACGUAGGGGGCAAGCGUUGUCCGGAAUUACUGGGCGUAAAGAGCGCGUAGGUGGUUUAGUAAGUCAGGUGUGAAAGGCCAGGGCUCAACCCUGGGACUGCACUUGAAACUGCUUGACUUGAGGGCAGGAGAGGUAAGUGGAAUUCCCAGUGUAGCGGUGAAAUGCGUAGAUAUUGGGAGGAACACCAGUGGCGAAAGCGACUUACUGGCCUGGCCCUGACACUGAGGCGCGAAAGCGUGGGGAGCGAACAGG
Molecule: ribosomal RNA, 404 nt
Filed under: uncultured bacterium
Lineage: Bacteria
Description: bacterial SSU rRNA
Rfam family: Bacterial small subunit ribosomal RNA
Source: RNAcentral